GACGAACGCUGGCGGCGUGCUUAACACAUGCAAGUCGAGCGGUAAGGCCCUUUCGGGGGUACACGAGCGGCGAACGGGUGAGUAACACGUGGGUGACCUGCCCUCAGCUCUGGGAUAAGCCUGGGAAACUGGGUCUAAUACCGGAUAUGACCCCAUGACGCAUGUCGUGGGGUGGAAAGCCUUGUGCGGCUGAGGAUGGGCCCGCGGCCUAUCAGCUUGUUGGUGGGGUGAUGGCCUACCAAGGCGACGACGGGUAGCCGGCCUGAGAGGGCGACCGGCCACACUGGGACUGAGACACGGCCCAGACUCCUACGGGAGCAGCAGGUGGGGAAUCUUGCGCAAUGGGCGAAAGCCUGACGCAAGCGACGCCGCGUGAGGGAUGACGGCC
This 388-nucleotide ribosomal RNA is filed under the name uncultured bacterium. RNAcentral's name for it is "bacterial SSU rRNA". It matches the Rfam family "Bacterial small subunit ribosomal RNA", at positions 28 to 416 of the family's 1533-position model. The record is from RNAcentral.